Molecule: ribosomal RNA, 169 nt
Filed under: Forcipiger longirostris (longnose butterflyfish)
Lineage: Eukaryota; Metazoa; Chordata; Actinopteri; Chaetodontiformes; Chaetodontidae
Description: partial small subunit ribosomal RNA
Source: RNAcentral
CACCGCGGUUAUACGAGAGACUCAAGUUGUUAGUCGUCGGCGUAAAGAGUGGUUAAGAGAUACAAAAAACUAAAGCCGAACGCCUCCAGAGCAGUUAUACGCUUCCGAAGGUAAGAAGCCCGACUACGAAAGUGGCUUUAUCAAUUCUGACUCCACGAAAGCUAGGGAA